UACGGAGGGAGCUAGCGUUGUUCGAAUAUACUGGGCGUAAAGCGCACGUAGGCGGCACGAUAAGUCAGGGGUGAAAUCCCGGAGCUCAACUCCGGAACUGCCUUUGAAACUGCCGCGCUUGAAUUCUGGAGAGGCGAGUGGAAUUCCGAGUGUAGAGGUGAAAUUCGUAGAUAUUCGGAAGAACACCAGUGGCGAAGGCGACUCGCUGGACAGACAUUGACGCUGAGGUGCGAAAGCGUGGGGAGCAAACAGG
This 253-nucleotide ribosomal RNA is filed under the name uncultured bacterium. RNAcentral describes it as "partial 16S ribosomal RNA". It matches the Rfam family "Bacterial small subunit ribosomal RNA", at positions 524 to 776 of the family's 1533-position model. The record is from RNAcentral.